UACAUCAAUUGUGCAUGGUGUAUAUGAAUCUAUCUUUUUCGAAAAAACAAAAGUUCACCAGUUCAACAGUUCAACAGCAAGAUUGGACAAUGGGAGAUAACUCCAUUGAUUUAAGCUCAAAAUUAAAAAUUGCAAGCUGUCUUUACCCUUCAGUGCUGACAGGCACUUUAUUUGUUUGUUUGUAAAGUGUUUGUGUUCAUAUAUAUAUGCUUAUGUGUAAUAGUCUGUUGUAAAUAGAUCAUAUAUAACCAUGCCCAAUUCUUCAGACAUUAAAGUUAAAACAUGAUGUGUGUGUGUGCAUGCAUUACCAUACUUUCCAUGUAGAGUAUUUCCAUGAAGAAGAAAAAACGCACCAUCAAUUGUGCAUGGUUUAUAUGAAUCUAUCUUUUUUAAACUAAAGUUCACACAAGUUCAACAACAAUACUGGACAAUGGGAGAUAACUCCAAUAAUUUUGGCCCAAAUUAAAAAUUGAAAGCAGUCUUUUCCCUUCAGUGCUGACAGGCACUUUGUUUGUUUGUAAAGUGUUUGUGUUCAUAUAUGUAUUCUUAUGUUUUAUAGUCCAUUAUAAAUAGAUCAUAUAUAACCAUGCUCAAUUCUUCAGACAUUAAAGUUAAAACAUGAUGUGUGUGUGUGCAUGUAUAACCAUACUUUCCAUGUUAAUUAUUUUUUUCUUCAAAAAAUUACAUCAAUUGUGCAUGGUGUAUAUGAAUCUGUCUUUUCGAAAAAACAAAAGUUCACAAGUUCAACAGCAAGAUUGGACAAUGGGAGAUAACUCCAUUGAUUUAAGCUCAAAAUUAAAAAUUGCAAGCUGUCUUUACCCUUCAGUGCUGACAGGCACUUUAUUUGUUUGUUUGUAAAGUGUUUGUGUUCAUAUAUAUAUGCUAAUGUGUAAUAGUCUGUUGUAAAUAGAUCAUAUAUAACCAUGCCCAAUUCUUCAGACAUUAAAGUUAAAACAUGAUGUGUGUGUGUGCAUGCAUUACCAUACUUUCCAUGUAGAUUAUUUUCAUGAAGAAAAAAAAACGCACCAUAAAUUGUGCAUGGUUUAUAUGAAUCUAUCUUUUUUAAACAAAAGUUCACAAGUUCAACAACAAUACUGGACAAUGGGAGAUAACUCCAAUAAUUUUGGCCCAAAUUAAAAAUUGAAAGCAGUCUUUUCCCUCCAGUGCUGACAGGCACUUUGUUUGUUUGUAAAGUGUUUGUGUUCAUAUAUGUAUGCUUAUGUGUGAUAGUCUGUUGUAAAUAGAUCCUAUAUACCAUGCUCAAUUCUUCAGACAUUAAAGUUAAAACAUGAUGUGUGUGGGUGCAUGUAUUACCAUACUUUCCAUGUAGAUUAUUUUCAUAAAAAGUUUUUUCUCCAAAAAAUUACAUAAAUUGUGCAUGGUGUAUAUGAAUCUAUCUUUUCUAAAACAAAAGUUCACCAGUUCAACAACAAUAUUGGACAAUGGGAGAUAACUCCAUAUUAAUAAUUGACAUUCAAAUUGAAAAUGAAAGAAUUAAGUUGUUACCCUUCACUGCUGACAGGCACUUUGUUUGUUUGUUUGUAAAGUGUUUGUGUUCAUAUAUAUAUGAUUAUGUUUUAUAGUCCAUUGUGAACAGAUCAUAUAUAUCCAUGCCCAAAUUCUUCAGAUAUUAAAGUUAAAACAUGAUGUGUGUGAGUGCAUGUAUAACCAUACUUUCCAUGUUAACUAUUUUUAUUAAAAACAAAUAACAUAAAUUGUGCAUGGCAUAUAUGAAUCAGUCUUCCAAAAAGAAAAGUUCAAGUUCAACAACAUUUUUCGACAAUGGGAGAUAACUCAAAUAAUUUUUGCUAAUGUUGAAAAAAAGAAAGCAGUCUUUUCCCUUCAGUGCUGAUAAUAUUUUGUUAUUGUUUGUAAAGUGUUUGUGUACUGUACAUUAGUAAUUUUAAGAUAGUUUACAAAAUUAUAUUUAU
This 1931-nucleotide long non-coding RNA is filed under the name Mytilus galloprovincialis (Mediterranean mussel). Lineage: Eukaryota; Metazoa; Mollusca; Bivalvia; Mytilida; Mytilidae. The record is from RNAcentral.